This is a non-coding RNA of Danio rerio (zebrafish), 1195 nucleotides long. The record is from Rfam. Lineage: Eukaryota; Metazoa; Chordata; Actinopteri; Cypriniformes; Danionidae.
UACCUGGUUGAUCCUGCCAGUAAUAUAUGCUUGUCUCAAAGAUUAAGCCAUGCAAAUCUUAGUGCACACGUCCGAUACAGUGAAACUGCGAAUGGCUCAUUAAAUCAGUUAUGGUUUCUUUGAUCUCGCCACCCGGUUACUUGGAUAACUGUGACAUUUCCAGUGCUAAUACAUGCCAACAAGUGCCGACCUGGUCUGCCCUUCUCCCCCCAGGGCGGGGGGCGUCUCUCCGUGGACGCGUGCAUUUAUCAGAUGCAAAACCCAUGCGGGUUCGCGGGCGAUGAAAAGGGGAGCUCGCGCCUCCUCGCUGCCAUCCGCCCCCGGCCUCGCAUAGAUGACUCUAGAUAACCUCGUGUCGAUUGGGCACCCCCGCAGCGGCGACGAUUCCUUCGAAUGUCUGCCCUAUCAACUUUCGAUGGUAGGUCUGUCGCCUACCAUGGUGACCACAGGUGAAGAGGAGCUUGAGAAACGGCUACCACAUGCAAGGAAGGCAGCAGGUGCGCAAAUGACCCAUUUCUGACACAGAGAGGUAGUGUCAAAAAAAACAACAAUGCAGGUCUCUUUCAAGGCCCUCCAAUUGGAAUGAGUGCAUCCCAAACCCAUGGGCGAGGACCCAUUGGAGGGCAAGUCUGGUGCCAGCCAUGGUUAUUCCAGCUCUAAUAGCAUAUGCUAACGUUGCUGCAGUUAAAAAGCUCGAAGUUGGAUCUCGGGGACCAGGCUGUGCGGUCUGCCAUGAGGGGAGCCACCGCCCGUCCUUAACCCCCAGGUCUCCCAGUGCCCCCCCGAAUACCCUUGACUGGGUGUCCUUGGCUUGGGGCCCGGAGCGUUUACUUUGAAAAGAGUGUUCAAGGCAGGGCUGGCCCUGCACCCUACUGAAUAAUACAGCUAGGAAUAACGGAAUAGGACCCUGGUUCUACUUUGUGGAUUUCAGGAACCUGGGGCCAUGAUCGAGAGGGAUGGCCGGGGGCAUUAUUGCGCCACUAGAGGUGGAAAAGCAUUUGCCGAGAACGUUUUCAUUAUUCAAGAAUGAAAGUCGGUGGUUUGAGGAUGAUCAGAAACAUUCGUAGUUCCGAUCGUAAAUGAUGCAGGAGGAAACCCAUGCCAACAUGGGGAGAACAUGCAAACUCCACACAAAAAUGGCAACUGACCCAGCCAGGACUUGAACCAGUGUCCUUCUUGGUGUGAGGUAUCAGUG